This is a long non-coding RNA of Herpailurus yagouaroundi (jaguarundi), 1498 nucleotides long. RefSeq lists it as uncharacterized. NCBI's taxonomy places the organism in Eukaryota, Metazoa, Chordata, Mammalia, Carnivora, Felidae. The transcript is spliced from 4 exons. The record is from RefSeq and is a predicted model, not a curated record.
UCGUUCCGGGCUGGACAGGACGGAGGGGACUUCAACGGAUCUCACUUUAGGGAAGUACCGCGUUUGCACGGAGAACAGGGAUCUUCCCUGAGGGAUCUGGUUGCAGAAAGAGAAGCUUGAGCUCUUCAGGAGUCCAUCCUCCAAAAAAGCGGCUGGGAGGGCUGCGCAGGUGCAGGAUCUUUUUGGCUACUGGUGUGAAGAACAAACUGAAGAAAGGCAAAGGUAGAGGCAGGGAGCCCAAUUAGGAGACAGUAGUCCAGAUAACACCUACUAAGAAGAUAGAAGACUUACUUUCAUCAUCUGAAUCAAAUCCAAAGAGUGUCUGACAUUUCUUUUGUGCAAGGUAUUCUUUUAAAUAUUUUAAGAAUUUAGGUCCGAGAUGGUGACGUAGGCAGACCCUGAACUCACCUCCUCCAGGGACACAACAAAUCUGCACCUACACAGAGAGCAAUUCCUCCUGCAGAACUGAGGACUGACUGAACAGCUGAACAACAAAAGUAAGAGCGACCACAUAGAGAAUGGCAAGAAAGACGGAGACACGGUAAUAGGGAAUCCCCACUCUCACCCCUGUAAACUGCAGUGGGGAGGGACAGUAAUAAGGGACUAUGAGCAGAUUCAUCUGCUCUGAGGUACAGGAGAAAAAGUUGCAGUUUAAAAGGGCAACUAGAAUAUAAAGGAUCUAGCCCUAGAACUCUGCCAAAUGGCAGGGAGACUGCUGGAACUUUCUCUAGGUCAGGGGGGCUGUCAAGCACCACAGUUUACACAUUCCCCAUCCACCUUGACAGCAUGGACAGGAGCAUGGUCCAGACACCCUACCACCUCAACGAGCCCUGGCCCUCUACCCAUACCUGCCCCAACUGUCUCACUAAGGAGGCCCAAUACAGUGCAUACCGGGUCACCCUUGUCAGUGUUCACUGUAGCUCAAGACUACUUGACAAAGUAACACAGGCACAAAGCACCCUGGAACGCUCCAGACCCACACCACUUAAGCUCCAGACAACUUGCCAGGACACUGUGGUCCACACCUGCUUCUGCUCCAGCUGCCCGAAAAGGGCACCCCACACAGAAUGCCCCAGGAUGCCUCAGCCUGCACCCACUUUAGCUUCUGCUAUCACCCACAACACAAGAGAGCCCUGAGACCACCUCGUACCCACUUCAGCUUCAGCUGUCCUGCCAGUGUGCCCUCUGUGCAGAAAACCCCAGGAGCAGCCCAGCCUACACCUACUUCAGCUCUGGCCGUCCCACCAGCAUGGCCCCAGCACAGGGAGUCCCAGGACAUCCAGCCUAUGACAGCUACAGCUCUAGCCAGCUAGCCAAAGUCAUCAGGCACACACAAUCCACACAGGGGAUAACCAUACACAGGAUCAUUCCUUCAAGUUUAGGAGAAGUAGCUGUUCCACCUAAUUCACAGAAAUAAACACAGAAAGUCAAGCAAAUGGGGACAGAGGAAUAUGCUCCAAAUGAAAGAACAAGACAGAGCCUCAGAAAAAGAACUAAA